Molecule: long non-coding RNA, 1136 nt
Organism: Wyeomyia smithii (pitcher-plant mosquito)
Lineage: Eukaryota; Metazoa; Arthropoda; Insecta; Diptera; Culicidae
Exons: 2
Source: RefSeq, a predicted model, not a curated record
UGUUAAGGUCUCUAAUCAUAUUUUAGUACUCAGUAAUUAAAAUUAUUAUGUUUUUAUCCAAAUUUUCUAAUCACUGGUAAAAUAAAUCGUUCAAACAUUAAACAUAUCAUGAAUUUCUACUCCCGAAACUAAGCAGCGACCCGCCAAGGUUAACACUCAUACACACGCACAAUCCACGAAAAAAUAUUUAUACAGCUCGCAUCUGCUGCGUAGAAGAACAACAAUGAUCAACACAGUUGUGCGAUAGCUAAAACAUAAACACACCGCCAGGCAGGGCAGCAGAAACAUCGUCAGAGGCAGAGCAGUAGAUGUGUAUAGAAACAAAAUGUGAAAAAGAAUCGUAAAAUGGUCAGCGAAGAACCCCGCUUAACGGCGGACUGACCGGUUGCGUUUCCACAGACGGUCAACCGUUUCUCUGCUUCUGACAGAAAUUAUUAUCUGGUAGAACUGUGAAGCAGAAAUCCACCCUAACCCGAACCUACCUGUUGGGUAAACGUACUUCCAUCCCAACCCAACACAGAAACUUGAGGCCUCCUUCUUCGUAUGCGUAAAAGCUUGUACGCUCUUUUAUUUUUGGUUUCCCUGUACCGGCAUAGAAAGACGCACCCUAUACCUACCAACCCGGUAGUAGCGGCCCGUGGACCAACACUCGAUAACAGGCCUUCGGUAGUGUUUGUUGGCUGGUUCGAUAAGCAGGAAUUGAAUUGCGGGUACCCGAAAUUUCUACCUCACAAGUUGCAUUUAUUAAGGGAAACUUCUCAGCCCACGAAAUGCUUCCAACGGUGCGCCCCCUAUUGACCAGCUUGGCGGUGCGGAAUUCCGCCUUCUUGGCUCGCAGUUACCACAAGAAGAAGAAUCCCAACUUCCGCCCGCAAACGAUGAACGACUAUCCGGUGCCGGAGGGAGAUUUCUUCGAUGAACAUCGGCGCAAAAAUCGCAUCUACAACAUGUGGCUAGCGGUGGGUAUCAUCACCUUCGGUAUGACCCUGUACGUGGCCAAGGAGUCGGGAUUAAUGUUUAUGAACUACAAACCACCGAAGAGCAUCGAUUGAACACCACGGGUGGAACCAACCGUCCGACAGUAUUGGUGAAGUUUGUUAUCUGAUAGUAAAUGAAAAGAUAUGUCCCCUAAGAAA